Molecule: transfer RNA, 90 nt
Filed under: Nitrospira sp.
Lineage: Bacteria; Pseudomonadati; Nitrospirota; Nitrospiria; Nitrospirales; Nitrospiraceae
Also listed under: 3 other names
Description: tRNA-Ser
Rfam family: tRNA
About the family: Transfer RNA (tRNA) molecules are approximately 80 nucleotides in length. Their secondary structure includes four short double-helical elements and three loops (D, anti-codon, and T loops).
Source: RNAcentral
GGAGAGGUGCGAGAGCGGCCGAAUCGGCGUGAUUGGAAAUCACGUGUACCGGCGACGGUACCGUGGGUUCGAACCCCACCCUCUCCGCCA